AGCGUUGUCCGGNUUAUUGGGCGUAAAGACGAGCGCAGGCGGUUUUUUAAGUCUGAUGUGAAAGCCUUCGGCUCAACCGAAGAAGUGCAUCGGAAACUGGGAAACUUGAGUGCAGAAGAGGACAGUGGAACUCCAUGUGUAGCGGUGAAAUGCGUAGAUAUAUGGAAGAACACCAGUGGCGAAGGCGGCUGUCUGGUCUGUAACUGACGCUGAGGCUCGAAAGUAUGGGUAGCAAACAGGAUUAGAUACCCUGGUAGUCCAUACCGUAAACGAUGAAUGCUAAGUGUUGGAGGGUUUCCGCCCUUCAGUGCUGCAGCUAACGCAUUAAGCAUUCCGCCUGGGGAGUACGGCCGCAAGGCUGAAACUCAAAGGAAUUGACGGGGGCCCGCACAAGCGGUGGAGCAUGUGGUUUAAUUCGAAGCUACGCGAAGAACCUUACCAGGUCUUGACAUACUAUGCAAAUCUAAGAGAUUANACGUUCCCUUCGGGGACAUGGAUACAGGUGGUGCAUGGUUGUCGUCAGCUCGUGUCGUGAGAUGUUGGGUUAAGUCCCGCAACGAGCGCAACCCUUAUUAUCAGUUGCCAGCAUUAAGUUGGGCACUCUGGUGAGACUGCCGGUGACAAACCGGAGGAAGGUGGGGAUGACGUCAAAUCAUCAUGCCCCUUAUGACCUGGGCUACACACGUGCUACAUGGAUGGUACAAC
This 705-nucleotide ribosomal RNA is filed under the name Lactobacillus sp. FL2. Its description in RNAcentral is "bacterial SSU rRNA". It matches the Rfam family "Bacterial small subunit ribosomal RNA", at positions 537 to 1243 of the family's 1533-position model. Lineage: Bacteria; Bacillati; Bacillota; Bacilli; Lactobacillales; Lactobacillaceae. The record is from RNAcentral.